Pleuronectes platessa (European plaice) is the source of this 809-nucleotide long non-coding RNA. RefSeq lists it as uncharacterized. The transcript is spliced from 2 exons. Lineage: Eukaryota; Metazoa; Chordata; Actinopteri; Pleuronectiformes; Pleuronectidae. The record is from RefSeq and is a predicted model, not a curated record.
GGGUCAGCCUCUCUGUCUAAGAGCAGAAUGAUAUCAAGAGGUCACAUUGUUAAUGCCAUAUUCUGGAUCGUCCAUUCUGCUAGAGCAGCAACCUAAUUCUAUUAACAGCCAUUUUACUCUGUAAAGUGUGAAGCUCACACUAAAGGUGAUUCUGUUUUUCAACAGGUAAUGCUCAAGCAGAUACAGCAGCAGAGGAAGCGGCAACUAACCAACAUACUGUCAUUGAUAUUCCUUUUUCCUUUCUCUCACAGAUUUAGCAGAAGCACAGAGCCAUGCUAACAACAUAGAGAAAGCGGAAUGUAAAUGUUUUAACAAUGUAUGUCAAUCUAAGGACGGCCGUCCAUGUGUGUUUAAAUGUUUAUUUGUUGUUUUGUUUGUUUCUGUUUUAUUGAAAAUUGUCUGGUUUCCAAAACUACUCUUUUACGUUUUAUUUCAAAAUGUUUACAUUUUCUGACAGGCAACACUACAGGAGGCCAGGACGUACAACCCCCUGGCCAACCGAUUGAUCGCUUGCAAAUGGAUUUCAUUGAACUAACACCAUGUGAAGGAAAGGAGCAUUGUCAUGUGGCUGUUGACAUAUAUUCCCUACAGGUAAAUGCAGCAAUCCCGCAACCAGCAGAGGGCCAGUUGCAUAAUUGGAAACCAGGAGACUGGGUGCUGAUAUAAGUCCGCCACUUGAGACGGAGGCCCAGGGAGAAAGUGUCGCUUCCCUCACAGACGAGGAACAAAGCAGAAGAAAGACGACAGCUCUCACUGAGGUGUAAAACCAUACCAACAACCAACAGCUGUUGCAGAUAAAGGAAGAAACG